CCAGAAUGCCGUUGCGCUGUUACGAUCCAGGCAAACCAAUUUUAGGUCUUUUUUUUUCUUUUGAGCCACACCAGUUCUCUCUUUCGGGUCAGAUUCCCCGAGAGCGCCUGGACGAGCGCCCGUGCCCGUCUUCCUCCUCGUGCCAAAAGCAGCACACACGCGCGCCGCCCUCCGCAAUCUUCGCCCUCGACGAUGCCUCCUCGGCCCGUGACCCAUUCAGGUGCUCUGAACCGUAUCCCACGGCCCUUCCCUUCCUUUUUCCCUCCUCAAUCAUCCCCCACAAUCACGGCUGAAUCGCCUUAGCGCGCGUUGUGGUAGCGGCUCCCGAGUGAUCGCCGACGUGGCGAGAACACGAAGUGUGACACUGAGGAGUUUACCCAGGUUCGGGCCACCCGAAGGUGUAAUACCCUACGUCCUGCUUUUGUGCUUGGAUUCCAUUGAUUUAAGCGUGUUUACAGGUUGCCGGGGGUGGCUCCCCGGCUAGUUACUUGAACUCCUAAGAGCCUCUCAGCUCUGCCUAUCUUAGUGUUACUAUGUG
Molecule: long non-coding RNA, 538 nt
Filed under: Brachypodium distachyon (stiff brome)
Lineage: Eukaryota; Viridiplantae; Streptophyta; Magnoliopsida; Poales; Poaceae
Description: long non-coding RNA (BDIS_LNC005978)
Source: RNAcentral